AGUUGAGCUUGUCUUUUAGCUGGCUAGCCUGUACAUAGUUAACGUUAGUUGAGCUAACUAGAUAAUCUUCUUGAAUCGUUUUGUUAACUAGCAACGUUUGAUGUCUUGUGAGAGAGCUUUCAUGUCUCAUAAUCAAAAUAGUUAGUUUUUGUUUACAUUCAGGCCAGCAGAUGAAACGUUAGUCUGCCUUCUCCCGAAAGUUUUCAGCCAUUAAUGUUAGUUUCGCCCACAACUGGCUCAUGUGAACUACAAUCCCGACGCUGUUUUAACGUUAUGGCAUUUGAAACAUAUGUCCCUUUGAUCAGCGAGAAAGACUCCUUCAAAUAAAAAAAGACACACUUACUGUAGCAGUUAUACACAGAUCCAUGUCUGGCUGGCCCAAUCCCAUCUUCCAGCUGCUCCCCAGAGCACAUUUGCUCAUCACCGCAGGGCUGACAUUCUAGAGCAGACCGAUAAGGUUUGUGGGGACCAGGAGACCCUGAGACGGUUCAUACCGCCUCCUCAGGCCCCGGGUCCAAGGCAGACGGAUUGUUGCCACCCACCUGCACCCGAACGACGGUGGGGUCCCUCUCCUGCCUCAUCUCCUCGUGCUAAGGGUCGACAGCAGGGAGGGGCACAUCGUGAGGUGAAGCAACAGCCUGUUUUUCCCACGUGGGUCUUCCCUGGUUUUUGCAGAGGUACUGGGUAAUUUAUCCCUCACCGGGUUCCUAUUCCUCCAAGCGGGUCACGACAUAAGCUCUCCCAGGGCUCCGUAGCCUUGUUGGCUUGGCUGAGCUUAUGGCUUGUCUUUGUGACAGGUGUGAUGGUGUCCACCGUCACCGCCAUUGGGGCGUGCCUGGGGGACCCAUGCGCUCGGGGUGCCAGAGGAGAGGCUGGCCCCGGCAGGUCAUCUGACACACCCUUCCUCUGCUUCUUCUCCCGGUCUCCUUCUCUGGGCUCUGGGACGUCUAGCGUCUCUACGCGCAGCGCACGUACAUGGCAUCCUAAAUGUGGCAGCAGAUAUGCUCUUGAAGGAGGGCCCGCCACCUUGGGACUGGAGCCUACAUCCCCAGGUGGUGCAGCACCUGUGGGACAAAUUUGGGAGGGUGCAAGUGGACCUGUUUUCCUCCUUGGACAAUGCACACUGCUACCUGUGGUACUCCAUGUCGGAGCCACCAGGGCCUCUGGGCUUGGAUGCUCUGGCUCACGAUUGGCCAGGGCUGGAGCUUACGCAUUCCCCCCUUUUCCCCUGAUCCAGGCUGUGCUGGACAGGACCAGGAUGGCAGAGCAUCGUCUGCUGCUGGUGGCCCCAUACUGGCCCAGACAACCCUGGUUCAGCCUUCUCCUGUCCCUGUUGUCUGGGACACCUUGGCAACUUCCCUUGAAACCGGACCUGCUGUCUCAGGUCAGGGGAACUCUGUGGCAUCCGAGGCCGCAACGCCUCAGUCUGUGGGCUUGGCCACUGAACGGCACCAAUGGUCCAUGUUAGGACUACAGGAGGGUGUAAUGAACACCAUGCAGAGCGCAAGGGCGCUGGUUACAACUGCGGCAUACCAGUUGCUCUGGCGGUUGGCUCUUGGUGUACUGGUAUUGAGGUUGUGCCCGAGUAAUGCUGGGUGCAGUAAUGUCCUCCAAUACCUGUAGUCUCGCUUCGAUGAGGGUUUGGCAGCCUCUACCCUGAGAGGGUAUCUGGUCGCUAUAUCUGCCUGCCAUGUGGAGUGGAUGGAGAAGCCAUAGGGGUGCCAUCCCUUGGUCUCCAGGUUUAUGAAAGGGGUUUGUCCCGUGCGUCCAGCUAGGACCCGCUCAAUGGCGAGCUGGGAUCUGGAUGUGGUCUUGGCAGAUUUGACAAAGCCGCCUUUCGAACAGUUGGAGUCUGCCUCCCUGAAACACCUCUCUAUGAAGGUGGAUUUCUUGGUAGCGAUUAUUUCCAUGAAGAGGGUGGGUGAGCUCCAUGCUCUUUCAGUAAGUUUUCUCUCCGCCCCAACCCUUCAUUCCUCCUGAAGGUUCUGUCAGACAGACAUGUGAACAUCUCUUAUUAUCCUGUCUGCUUACGACCCCCGCCUCCCCGGCAGUGGCGGGGGGGUCUGGGCCUCCCUCCGGCAUGCUGUGCCUUGUGAGGGCACUGGCUGCCUAUGGGGAGCGGACACGGUCAGUGAGAACAACAGACCAGCUCUUUGUCUCACUGGAUCAUGGACACAAUUACGACAGCAUACUGCCUGGCAGGCCAGUGCUCGGAUCUGUGGUGGCACAUUCAACAUGAGAUGUGGCUGCGUCCUGGAUUCUACUGAGAGGAGUGCCCCUCGCUGAUAUCUGUGCUGCGGCCAGCUGGGCUUCCUCUUGCACCUUUGCAAGAUAUCGGGUAAAUAUGGCACCUCCCUCUGCGGUUGGUUCAGCGGUCCUGGGCUUCGCCUCCCCUUCCGGGGACUGUGCCGGGACCCACCCUUCCACAUUGACGGCCCCAACGUCUUGGUCCCGCUCUGGGACUUUGACUCUGGCUUGCCAGGUCCUUCUAGCACCGACUAAUCUGGUACUGGUAUACCAACAUAUUGGAGUGAUCCAAUAUAGUGAAACAUAAUGAAGGUUACGUAUGUAACAACGGUUAUGUGACCUAUAUGGAUCACUCCAAUAUGUUGGUAUACCAGUACCAGAUUAGUGAGUUUGUGUUUAUACAGGACCUCCCGCCCGCCCCCACCUACCAUCAAUCAAUCAAUCAUGUCAAUGCGGAGCUAUACUGAGCCCACAGCAUUGUUUAAGCAGUUUUGGGAGGCGGUGGGCACACAGGACAUUGGUACAGAGCUCAAUUUGGCCUCUGCGUGCCUCUGGAGGCUCUGCAAUUGCGUCACACCCUCCUUACGGAGUCUCUGACCACAUUUUCAUUUUCGGAUCAAGCAUAAAUUGGCUCUUACGCUUAUGCACAGGUUUUCUGAGCACGCUAGAUAGCUAAUUAGCAUAUGUGGCCGCUGCUUGUCUGUUUACUGUAAACAAGCGCUGUAACAUGGAGAUAUGAUCGUGUGGGAAAACUAACACUAUCAAGGUGUGUAUCAAUUUAACCUUUUUGUUUUUUCAAAAUAAUUUCUCACUGAUAUGAAAGAUAAGUUCCUUAUGCUUCCAAAACCAAACCACAAGUGACGCGUGUUAAUGGUAAGAUUAACGCUUCGAACACACCGACUGUGUUAGGGCAUCACUGCUGCUUAACAUUUUGUGCACCUAGGCAACUAUACUGAUGCAGGUACCUUUUGCAAAUGGUCGCAUGCAGUUGGACACAUGGAGGAGAGAAUAAUUUUCGCAGUAUCCUCAAAACCGUGUCUUUUUGACACAACUGCUGACAGCUACAGGGACAUAAACACAAAAAAUGCUGCUUGGAGACAAGUGUCCACGAUAGUAGGAUUGCCAGAAGAAGACUGUAGGAGGAAGUGGAGAGGACUCAGGGACAGGUAUCAGAGAGAGAGAAGGGCAGAGAAAGAGAAGAUGUCUGGGUCAGCAGCUUCAGGCCAGCAGCCUUGGCGCUUGUGCCACAUUCUUUCUUUUCUGGAUCCAUUUAUUGUGCCUCGGGCAAUGAGUGGCAAUUUUACAGCCAGACCCUUUACUACGUCAUCCACAAGUGUUGUCGCCACCGGUGCAUCAAGACCCUCAACGUCACCUACAAAUGCGACCAUCACCUCCACCGGUGGAGUGAGACCCUCUACAACAUCAUCCAUGAGUAUGACCACCACCGUUGCAGCCAUGGAAGAUGAUGAAAUGGAGGAAGCACCUCUGGAUCUAGGACCACCUGAGAUUAUUAUGAACCUCACGGAAGUGACCACUGAGGACCUCGUUGAACAGGAUGUGGCCGUGGAGAGAAACAGAGAAACGAAGAGGAACAACGUCACACCAGGCGUCAUCGGAGGUACCAGCCCCCAGAUCCACUCAACUAAUUUCAGCAGAGGCUCCUCCAAGCCGUCGAGCGGGAUGCAGCCCAACCUGAUGAUCACAGGAAGGAGACCCUCUUUGCCAUGAGCCUGGUGCCAACACUGAAGAGGCUGCCUCAGCAAAGAAAAGCAGCAGUCAAGGUUAAAAUGUAUCAGCUGCUUUUCGAAGCCGAGUUCAAUGAGAUGGAGUCAAUUUAACAGACAAGCUCACAGGAAGGACAGGAAGAGAAGAGGAGUUGUCUGGUUGUUGUUUUGACCUCCCUCAUUGUACCUUUCUUUUCACACACGUCAGUUGUGUUUAAAUUCAGUCAAUUCAUUUGUUUAUAAAGUCUUAGGAUUUAUAGCAUUUAUUAUUAGUGUUACAUAGAUUUCUGAAUUGAAACUCAUACAGAGUCUUCACAGAUGCUCUUGGUCUCUUACACAGAUGCUCUUGGUCUCUUACAAGACUAAAGGUCAAUAUAUUUCUUUAAUUUAAAACCACUUGAAAACCAGGGUGUUGAAACUUCACAAAAAGUUAUGUUCCAUCGACUGGUCCGUGACAUCCAGGGGCCAUUUGUUUGUUUAGCUGUGUUAUGGCUACAUAUUAUUCCCUUUUUUUCAGAGACAGAGAGACACCUCUUCGUACCUCAGAUCUCCAGUAUCCUGCCCUCUCUCUCUUUAUGGCCAUGUCUGAAGUUCCCCUACUACGUCUAGGCUUUAUGAGUAGUCCCUGUAUCGGUCUGCAGUUGUGCCAAAAAUACAUGCUCUUCUCUUACAGAUUACAGGCUACACAUUCAUUUAAAAACAUCUUUUUUUUUACACGCACGCACACACACCUCUUUCAAUAGUUAAAAAAAAAAACAUUUUUACAAUACACAUACCUGUCAUGUUCUUUCCUGUACUUGAAUACUUAUUAAAUUAUGUUUUCAUAGUCA
Oncorhynchus kisutch (coho salmon) is the source of this 4801-nucleotide RNA transcript. RefSeq lists it as uncharacterized. NCBI's taxonomy places the organism in Eukaryota, Metazoa, Chordata, Actinopteri, Salmoniformes, Salmonidae. The transcript is spliced from 3 exons. The record is from RefSeq and is a predicted model, not a curated record.